RNAcentral lists this unclassified non-coding RNA (245 nucleotides) under Hevea brasiliensis (rubber tree). Lineage: Eukaryota; Viridiplantae; Streptophyta; Magnoliopsida; Malpighiales; Euphorbiaceae. The record is from RNAcentral.
GAGAACCGUUGCCCAGCGACGAGUAUUUCGCCGCCACAUUCUGAGACCGAGAAAGCUGAGAAUCUAUUCUCGGCAACUGGUCAACCGGCGUUGCGAUCCGGAGGCAGGCGACGUGAGCAGAGAGCAGCUGUUCGUAAAGCGGAUGCGCCAGAAUUUCAGCCUUAAACCGCGCAUUCUGCCAAUUCAUCGCCGCCUCUCCACCAUGAGCACCUCCAUUACCAUCGCUCUCAACCGCCACAUCGUCG